This 482-nucleotide ribosomal RNA is filed under the name uncultured bacterium. Its description in RNAcentral is "bacterial SSU rRNA". It matches the Rfam family "Bacterial small subunit ribosomal RNA", at positions 30 to 506 of the family's 1533-position model. The record is from RNAcentral.
UUGAACGCUGGCGGCAUGCUUUACACAUGCAAGUCGAACGGUAACAGGCCUUCGGGUGCUGACGAGUGGCGAACGGGUGAGUAAUGCAUCGGAACGUGCCCAAUCGUGGGGGAUAACGUAGCGAAAGUUACGCUAAUACCGCAUACGUCCUGAGGGAGAAAGCGGGGGACCUGCAAGGGCCUCGCGCGAUUGGAGCGGCCGAUAUCGGAUUAGCUAGUUGGUGGGGUAAAGGCUCACCAAGGCGACGAUCCGUAGCGGGUCUGAGAGGACGACCCGCCACACUGGAACUGAGACACGGUCCAGACUCCUACGGGAGGCAGCAGUGGGGAAUUUUGGACAAUGGGGGCAACCCUGAUCCAGCCAUUCCGCGUGAGUGAAGAAGGCCUUCGGGUUGUAAAGCUCUUUCAGCAGGAACGAAACGGUCGGCUUUAAUAAAGUCGGCUAAUGACGGUACCUGCAGAAGAAGCACCGGCUAACUACGU